Triticum dicoccoides is the source of this 485-nucleotide long non-coding RNA. RefSeq lists it as uncharacterized. Lineage: Eukaryota; Viridiplantae; Streptophyta; Magnoliopsida; Poales; Poaceae. The record is from RefSeq and is a predicted model, not a curated record. The transcript has 3 exons.
CAGCGUUGGUGCUAGGAAAGUUAACCUUGCAUGCGUGCACUUCCAGCAGUUCUAUGAGGGAAAAAGCAAAGAAAGGUGCCUCAUGGCAUUGAAUGUUCUUAGGAAUGAGUUCUACGAUGUGCGCGACAGGCUACAGACCAUUAUGCAGUUGGAGAAGCAGAUUGCAACCUUGGGUCCUAAUUAAGUAGCAGUAAUCGAAGCCAAAAAAGCAUAGCCCCAUGUGAUCUGGAAUGAUAGGGUGUAUGUAUCCUUGAAUAUGUAGGCAGUUCAACGGUUGCUGGCUUUGGACAGGGCGCGUGGAAUCACAUGAAAAUUCUUGCUUCGGCACUCCGGGCUCGCAAGCACCCUGCAACUGGAAUUUUUCUCUUGUGUGUCAGUGUCUUUGUCUGUCAACUCCAUAUAUUUGUGUGUCAUGACUGGUCUGCGGCUGUGUGUAAACUCUAUACUUGGUUGGCUACUUUUUGUCUUGGUUUUUAUUGUAUGUU